UAGCUCAGUUAGUAAGAGCAGCGGUCUUAUAAGCCGAAGAUGGUUGGUGCGGGUUCAAGUCCCGUU
RNAcentral lists this transfer RNA (66 nucleotides) under Treponema ruminis. Its description in RNAcentral is "tRNA-Ile". It matches the Rfam family "tRNA", at positions 8 to 63 of the family's 71-position model. Rfam says of the family: Transfer RNA (tRNA) molecules are approximately 80 nucleotides in length. Lineage: Bacteria; Pseudomonadati; Spirochaetota; Spirochaetia; Treponematales; Treponemataceae. The record is from RNAcentral.